CAGCAGCCGCGGGAAUACGUAGGUGGCAAGCGUUGUCCGGAAUUAUUGGGCGUAAAGCGCGCGCAGGUGGUUUAAUAAGUCUGAUGUGAAAGCCCACGGCUCAACCGGGGAGGGUCAUUGGAAACUGGGAAACUUGAGUGCAGAAGAGGAGAGUGGAAUUCCACGUGUAGCGGUGAAAUGCGUAGAGAUGUGGAGGAGCACCAGUGGCGAAGGCGACUCUCUGGUCUGUAACUGACGCUGAGGAGCGAAAGCGUGGGGAGCGAACAGGAUUAGAUACCCCGGUAGUCCCUGUCUCUUAUAC
This 301-nucleotide ribosomal RNA is filed under the name uncultured bacterium. RNAcentral describes it as "partial 16S ribosomal RNA". It matches the Rfam family "Bacterial small subunit ribosomal RNA", at positions 509 to 807 of the family's 1533-position model. The record is from RNAcentral.